UCUCACCUGUCACGUGUUGGCAGGCAACUCAGUUUGGCAUCCAGUCGAGCCAGUGAGGAGCUCGAAGUUCCAAUAAAAUCUGAAUCCGAUCAGACGGAACGAACCUGCCUGACUGCUCUGAUUCUGACUGUUCAAAGAGACACACCUGAGCAGACUCAUUUUAGAGCCAGAGAUGUCUGAUGACCUCAGGUUCUGGGGAGAGAAAAAACUCUGAAAUGUGAUCUGGAUCCAUGAAGAGCUGCAGAACUGACGAAUGAAACAGAAAGCAGAGACCAAGGCACUGAUGUGGGUCUGAACCUGGACCUGGACCUGGACUGAACCAAGAAACAAAACAUCACAGCAGACAUGAAGUCAGCUGACAUCACUUCCCACUAAUAAAAAAAAAUAUUGAGAUGACAGCGAAUGCACAACAGCGACCCCUUCACAGACCGUCUGGAAGAUGGAACGCUGACAUCCAAAAUACAACUUCAACCAAACUUCCUCUUACUGCUGCUGUGAUGUCACAGCGUGUUCUGACCAACAUAUAUGACUUGCUGGACGCCGCUGUGUGUGUGUCGAAGUCACAGCUUCCUCUCUCUCUGAGGGAGUUCCCACUCUGACUCUAUGGGAUUGCACGCCCUCUCUUUCU
Molecule: long non-coding RNA, 628 nt
Organism: Xiphias gladius (swordfish)
Lineage: Eukaryota; Metazoa; Chordata; Actinopteri; Istiophoriformes; Xiphiidae
Exons: 3
Source: RefSeq, a predicted model, not a curated record